UGUCGCGAAGAAUCGCGUGCGUAAUCGCGCUCCGUUUAGCGUUAAAGGCUAUAAAAGGCGUUAAAAACCUCAUUCAGACUUGCGAUCGUGAAUACGCGCACACUUGUACAUGCGCGUGUCAACGUCUUCAAUGAUAACGAUCGGGAUAUCGAUCGAAUUAUAAAACCAGCAGCACAUUUUUGCAGCUUUAUCUGUCUUGAUGAUUUUCAUGUCGUUGGAUUUAACAAACGACAAAUAUUUGUUCCGUCAGUAAUACGCAACAUUACCAGAAUUCUGAUGAACGUUAAGUCC
Long non-coding RNA from Atta colombica, 291 nucleotides. RefSeq lists it as uncharacterized. The transcript is spliced from 3 exons. NCBI's taxonomy places the organism in Eukaryota, Metazoa, Arthropoda, Insecta, Hymenoptera, Formicidae. The record is from RefSeq and is a predicted model, not a curated record.